GGCGCCUAAAUGCAGUCGGAGGUAGCACAGAGAGCUUGGUCUCGCGUGAGGAGAGUGGGACAGGUGAGUAAUGUGUGGGGAUCUGCCCCAUAUAGGGGGAUAUCCCCUGUGGACGGGGGGUAAUACCGCAUAACGUCGCGAGAGCCAAGAGGGGGACCUUCUGGCCUCUCACUAUCUGAUGAGCCCCCAUGGGAUUAUCUAUUAGGGGGGGUAACGGCCCCCCUAUGCGACAAUACCUAUCUGGGCUGAGAGAAUGACCACCCCCACUGUGACUGAGACACGGUCCACACUCCUACAGGAGGCGCCACUGGGGAAUAUUGUGCAAUGGGCGCACGCCUGAUGCGCCCCUGUGCCGUGUGUGAAAAAAGCCUUCUGGUUGUAAAGUACUUUUUCCGCGGAGAAAAGGGCUGAGGUUAAUAACCUUAUUGAGUGAGGUUUCCCCCACAAAAAACACCGGCUAACUCCCUGCCCCCACCCGCGGUAAUACAGAGGGUGCGAGCGUUAAUCUCAAUUACUGUGCGUAAAGCGCACGCACGCGGUCUGUUAAGUCACAUAUGAGAUCCCCGGGGUUAUACUGUGAACUGCGUUUGUAAAUGUGACGCUUGAGUCUCUCAUAGAGGGGUAUAAUUCUCCGUGUGUCGCUGUGAUGCGUAUAGAUCUGGAGGAAUAUCGGUGUCGAGAGCGGCCCCCUGUACAAGAACAGAGACUCUCGUGCGAAAGCGUGUGGAGCACACACGAGUAUAUACACUGUGAGUCCCCGCCGCAUACAAUAUCUACUUGUGGGUGGUUCUCUUGAGGAGUGGCUUCCCGAGAUAACACGUUAUAACUACCGCCUGGGGAGUACAGCCGCACGGUGAUAACUCUCAUGAGUUGUCAGGGGCCCCCACACGCGCUGGAGCAUGUGUUUUAUUUCUAUGUACACGCGGAACCUUAUCUACUCUUGACACCCCAGAGAAUUGGGAG
This 963-nucleotide ribosomal RNA is filed under the name uncultured prokaryote. RNAcentral describes it as "partial 16S ribosomal RNA". It matches the Rfam family "Bacterial small subunit ribosomal RNA", at positions 45 to 1003 of the family's 1533-position model. The record is from RNAcentral.